This 387-nucleotide ribosomal RNA is filed under the name uncultured bacterium. Its description in RNAcentral is "partial 16S ribosomal RNA". It matches the Rfam family "Bacterial small subunit ribosomal RNA", at positions 355 to 758 of the family's 1533-position model. The record is from RNAcentral.
UGGGGAAUAUUGGACAAUGGGCGCAAGCCUGAUCCAGCAAUGCCGCGUGAGUGAUGAAGGCCUUAGGGUUGUAAAGCUCUUUCGCACGCGACGAUGAUGACGGUAGCGUGAGAAGAAGCCCCGGCUAACUUCGUGCCAGCAGCCGCGGUAAUACGAAGGGGGCUAGCGUUGUUCGGAAUUACUGGGCGUAAAGGGCGCGUAGGCGGCCUGUUUAGUCAGAAGUGAAAGUCCCGGGCUCAACCUGGGAAUAGCUUUUGAUACUGGCAGGCUUGAGUUCCGGAGAGGAUGGUGGAAUUCCCAGUGUAGAGGUGAAAUUCGUAGAUAUUGGGAAGAACACCGGUGGCGAAGGCGGGCCAUCUGGACGGACACUGACGCUGAGGCGCGAAA